CUCCACAACCGAAUUGCCUGCAUUCAGAGAUGGUGCUGGGAACCUUCAGUACAGAGGUAUGCUUUGAAAUAAAGACACUCCCCUUGAUGCCACAACUAAAUUUUACUAGAAAAUUACAUUGCAAAUCAGCCUGUACUGUGAAAUCAAAUUCUGACCUGCUCUGCACAGGUGCAAACGUUUAAACAGUGCUGCACACCCGACAUAGAAGCACGGGGAGAUGGUGCUGGGUGUCAUCAGCAUACACUAUUUGCAAAGGUGGCACUGCCUUUGCUGUCACAACUAACUUUUCACCUACAUGAUCCUCUGAAACGAAACUGUGCUGGAAAACAGGUCUUGCUCCUAUCCUGCAUCCAAGGAUCAGCGUCAGAACUCUGCUCCACAACCGAAUUGCCUGCAUUCAGAGAUGGUGCUGGGACCUUCAGUACAGAGGAGCAUAUGGAUCGAACCUGUGCUGGAAAGAAGUCUGCUGCCAUGCUGCAUCCAAGGAUCAGCGUCAGAACUAUGCUCCACAACCGAAUUGCCUGCAUUCAGAGAAAGUGCUGGGAACCUUCAGUACAGAGGUAUGCUUUGAAAUAAAGACACUCCCCUUGAUGCCAGAACUAAAUUUUACUAGUAAAUUACAUUGCAAAUCAGCCUGUGCUGCGAAAUUAAAUACUGACCUGCUCCGCACAGGUGCAAGCGUUUAAAAAGUGC
RNAcentral lists this long non-coding RNA (693 nucleotides) under Melopsittacus undulatus (budgerigar). RNAcentral's name for it is "lncRNA (ENSMUNG00000000778.2)". The record is from RNAcentral. Lineage: Eukaryota; Metazoa; Chordata; Aves; Psittaciformes; Psittaculidae.